Molecule: ribosomal RNA, 460 nt
Filed under: uncultured bacterium
Lineage: Bacteria
Description: partial 16S ribosomal RNA
Rfam family: Bacterial small subunit ribosomal RNA
Source: RNAcentral
CCUACGGGUGGCAGCAGUGAGGAAUAUUGGUCAAUGGACGAGAGUCUGAACCAGCCAAGUAGCGUGAAGGAUGACUGCCCUAUGGGUUGUAAACUUCUUUUAUAUGGGAAUAAAAUGUUACAAGAGUGGGAUUUUGUAUGUACCAUAUGAAUUAGGAUCGGCUAACUCCGUGCCAGCAGUCGCGGUAAUACGGAGGAUCCGAGGGUUAUACGGAUUUAUUGGGUUUAAAGGGAGCGUAGGUGGGUUGUUAAGUCAGUUGUGAAAGUUUAGGGCUCAACCGUUAAAUUGCAGUUGAAACUGGCAGUCGUGAGUACAGUAGAGGUGGGCGGAAUUCGUGGUGUAGCGGUGAAAUGCUUAGAUAUCACGAAGAACUCCGAUGGCGAAGGCAGCUCACUGGACUGCAACUGACACUGAGGCUCGAAAGUGUGGGUAGCAAACAGGAUUAGAUACCCGGGUAGUC